This is a long non-coding RNA of Agrilus planipennis (emerald ash borer), 1783 nucleotides long. RefSeq lists it as uncharacterized. NCBI's taxonomy places the organism in Eukaryota, Metazoa, Arthropoda, Insecta, Coleoptera, Buprestidae. The transcript is spliced from 3 exons. The record is from RefSeq and is a predicted model, not a curated record.
UAUUCUAUUUAGAAGUUUUGUUUCCAUUGAUACACACCUGUCUAUUGUGAAUCAAUGAAUGUGUUUAUUUACACAUUCCAAUGCGGAAUCCCCGUAGUAGUAGCAGGUGUUAUUUGACCUAGUUUGUAGUGAUUCCAAAAUGGCCGUGCAGGCAACAACCAAUCAGAUGUCAGUGUUGCUUUAAUAACAUUGAGCUUUGCAUUCAUGAGUUAGUCACGCGCGCAGCGUUGGUCAUGUACUUCGCUCUACCAAUCUUUAAAUUAUUAUUACGUAAAUUUUUAAAAAUUGCUAAAAAUUAAUUUAAAUUAUUUAUUUUGAGUUUAGUAUGUAUUGUAGUCAAUUUUGUCUGUUCAAUAUUUUAUAAAGCAACUUAUUGGUUAUAUUAUUUAAUAAGCUGUUGAAUGAAGUUAGGCGGCCUUCAAAGAUUCUUAGUGAGCAUCGAAUUGUUAUUGUGAGGUCUGAAAUUUUAUAUGAUAAAUACAUCAGAAGAGACGUAUAAGCUAAAAGAACUUGUCGAUGUGGAAGUCAAUGAACUGUAGAGAAGAUGAUAAAAAAGAUGUGCAGGCAAAAUUGAAUUGCUAUGAUCUAGAAUGGACAGAAAAUUAGUUAGAUACCUGAUUAUUUGAUAUCAGUGGAUGAUUUUUUCGGUGCAGUGCCAUUUGAACUUCGAAAAGGUAUUAAUUGUGGUGUUGCCUUUAAAAACAUAAAGGCGCCACAUCGGUAAUAUUGGGGUAACAUGCAGGGCAUUAAGCGCUAAUUAAUUCUAUCAAAACGACGGCGGUUGCUUGCUUGGUCUGGUAUACGGUCUUGGGAUUUGCAAAUGCCAAGCGUCGAGGUAUUUCCAAACUUUAUGGAUAUUAGGGGAUUUCGGAUCGAUUACUACUUUCCAAACAAGCAUUGAUAUAUGGGCCUUUUCUAACGUAAUUGAAACCACGAAAACUGUUUUUCUCCCCGGAACAUUUGCGACGUUUUCAAAUUAAAAGGAAUUGGGAUACAUACACCAAGAAAUGUUUACAAAAGCAGAAAAAAGAAAAAUGUCCAAUAUUCAGGAGUUUCAGAAAGGCAAUUUCAACUUUUCUUUCUUUUUAACUUGAAAUUAUACAAGAAGAGGAAUAUCUUCUAAAGUUUACUUUAAAACACAUGAAAACCAAAUGUUCAUACGUUUUGAUUUAAUUUGUUGCUUUUAAAUUCUUUGUAUCAUAUUAACUUCAUAAACAUUAAACGAAUUGUAAUAAUAACCAUUGACAAUGGCAAUUAAUUUUUCCUUAUUUUGAAUGUUAGCAAUUUAAUGAAAAUUUUAAGUAAUAAUUCUUCUCAAAAUAAUGUCUAGAAUCCCAAUUUGAAGGUAAAUUGGUAUAUUAGUUUUACUGGAAUAAGUAAUAGUGUAUUGUGUGUUUUAAAAUUAUUUUAUUAUUUAUUUUUUAAACUAAUUUGUUAUAUAUAAACAAAAAAUUAAUAAGAAACUUAAUACAAACCUAGUUUAUUAAUGGAAUUUGUUUUUUAAAACGAAUUGGAAAAUUUAAAAUAGUAUUUAUGACAUUGCGUGACAUGUAAUUUACGUAUUAUUUUAUAAAUUACUAUUUUAAUAAACAUUAGAAAACCCUUUUUAAUGUAGAAUAAUGUGCUAAAUUGAAAUUUGGAAACAUAUUUGCAAUUCAGUAUUAGGUAAAAUAAAAUAUGACAAACUAACUUCUUGCAAAAUGUUUAAAUCAAGUUUUGUAGUGUUAUAAAUUGUUUAAAAGCUUUUUAUGAUGUUAAUGGAUAAAGUUUUUGAUUUUGAUAA